Molecule: ribosomal RNA, 1277 nt
Filed under: Lamprohiza splendidula
Lineage: Eukaryota; Metazoa; Arthropoda; Insecta; Coleoptera; Lampyridae
Description: SSU rRNA
Rfam family: Eukaryotic small subunit ribosomal RNA
Source: RNAcentral
ACCGAAAUAAGGUGAAACCGCGAAAGGCUCAUUAUAUCAGUUAUGGUUCAUUAGAUCGUACUCACACUUACUUGGAUAACUGUGGUAAUUCUAGAGCUAAUACAUGCAAACAGAACUCCGACCGGAGACGGAAGGAGCGCUUUUAUUAGAUCAAAACCAACACGGGCGAGGCGGGCCGGCGGCGUCUUGCACGUCGUCGCGUCCGCCUCGUCUCACACAUAGCUCGCACGACGAAUCUGAAUAACUUUUGCCGAUCGCACGGUCACGCACCGGCGACGCAUCUUUCAAAUGUCUGCCUUAUCAACUUUCGAUGGUAGGUUAUGCGCCUACCAUGGUUGUAACGGGUAACGGGGAAUCAGGGUUCGAUUCCGGAGAGGGAGCCUGAGAAACGGCUACCACAUCCAAGGAAGGCAGCAGGCGCGCAAAUUACCCACUCCCGGCACGGGGAGGUAGUGACGAAAAAUAACGAUACGGGACUCAUCCGAGGCCCCGUGAUCGGAAUGAGCACACUUUAAAUCCUUUAACGAGGAUCAAUUGGAGGGCAAGUCUGGUGCCAGCAGCCGCGGUAAUUCCAGCUCCAAUAGCGUAUAUUAAAGUUGCUGCGGUUAAAAAGCUCGUAGUCGAAAUUGUGUCCACGGCCGCCGGUUCGUCGCUCGCGACGCCAACUGGCGCGCACGCUGGACGUCCAGCCGGUACUACGAACUCGCCUACGGGGUGCUCUUAACCGAGUGUCCAGGCGGGGGCCGGCAACGUUACUUUGAACAAACUAAAGUGCUUAAAGCAGGCUAAAUCACGCUCGUAUACGUACGUGCAUGGAAUAAUCGAAUAGGACCUCCGUUCUAUUUUGUUGGGUUUUUGUGGAACGACAAACGGAGGUAAUGAUCAAUGGGUGCGGAUGGGGGCAUUCGUAUUGCGACGUUAGAGGUGAAAUUCUUGGAUCGUCGCAAGACGGACUUAAGCGAAAGCAUUUGCCAAAAACGCUUUCAUCGAUCAAGAACGAAAGUUAGAGGUUCGAAGGCGAUCAGAUACCGCCCUAGUUCUAACCAUAAACUAUGCCAGCUAGCGAUCCGCCGAAGUUACUACUAUGACUCGGCGGGCAGCUUCCGGGAAACCAAAGCUUUCGGGUUCCGGGGGAAGUAUGGUUGCAAAGCUGAAACUUAAAGGAAUUGACGGAAGGGCACCACCAGGAGUGGAGCCUGCGGCUUAAUUUGACUCAACACGGGAAACCUCACCAGGCCCGGACACCGGAAGGAUUGACAGAUUGAGAGCUCUUUCUU